AUACGGAGGGUGCAAGCGUUACUCGGAAUCACUGGGCGUAAAGCGCGCGCAGGCGGUCUUUUAAGUUGGAUGUGAAAGCCUACGGCUCAACCGUAGAACUGCAUCCAAAACUAUUAGACUAGAGUGUGGGAGAGGAAGAUGGAAUUAGUUGUGUAGGGGUAAAAUCCGUAGAGAUAACUAGGAAUACCAAAAGCGAAGGCAAUCUUCUGGAACAGUACUGACGCUGAGGCGCGAAAGCGUGGGGAGCAAACAGGAUUAGAUACCCGAGUAGUCC
This 274-nucleotide ribosomal RNA is filed under the name uncultured bacterium. RNAcentral's name for it is "partial 16S ribosomal RNA". It matches the Rfam family "Bacterial small subunit ribosomal RNA", at positions 523 to 796 of the family's 1533-position model. The record is from RNAcentral.